GGCCUACCUGGUGGGGCUGUUCGAGG
RNAcentral lists this non-coding RNA (26 nucleotides) under Cricetulus griseus (Chinese hamster). Lineage: Eukaryota; Metazoa; Chordata; Mammalia; Rodentia; Cricetidae. The record is from RNAcentral.